RNAcentral lists this ribosomal RNA (253 nucleotides) under uncultured bacterium. RNAcentral describes it as "partial 16S ribosomal RNA". It matches the Rfam family "Bacterial small subunit ribosomal RNA", at positions 524 to 776 of the family's 1533-position model. The record is from RNAcentral.
UACGUAGGUGGCAAGCGUUGUUCGGAAUUAUUGGGCGUAAAGGGCGCGUAGGCGGUUUGUUAAGUCAGCUGUGAAAGCCCGGGGCUCAACCCCGGAGGGUCGACUGAUACUGGCAAACUAGAGUACGGAAGAGGUAGCUGGAAUUCCCGGUGUAGCGGUGAAAUGCGUAGAUAUCAGGAGGAACACCUGUGGUGUAGACAGCUUACUGGACCAUAACUGACGCUGAGGCACGAAAGCGUGGGUAGCAAACAGG